This 403-nucleotide ribosomal RNA is filed under the name Verrucomicrobiota bacterium. Its description in RNAcentral is "Verrucomicrobia bacterium partial 16S ribosomal RNA". It matches the Rfam family "Bacterial small subunit ribosomal RNA", at positions 355 to 776 of the family's 1533-position model. The record is from RNAcentral. Lineage: Bacteria; Pseudomonadati; Verrucomicrobiota.
UGGGGAAUAUUGCACAAUGGGGGAAACCCUGAUGCAGCGACGCCGCGUGAGCGAAGAAGGCUUUCGAGUCGUAAAGCUCUGUCCUAUGAGAAGAUAAUGACGGUAUCAUAGGAGGAAGCCCUGGCUAAAUACGUGCCAGCAGCCGCGGUAAUACGUAUGGGGCGAGCGUUGUCCGGAAUUAUUGGGCGUAAAGGGUACGUAGGUGGUUUUUUAAGUCAGGUGUCAAAGCGUGGAGCUUAACUCCAUUAAGCACUUGAAACUGAAAGACUUGAGUGAAGGAGAGGAAAGUGGAAUUCCUAGUGUAGCGGUGAAAUGCGUAGAUAUUAGGAGGAAUACCGGUGGCGAAGGCGACUUUCUGGACUUUUACUGACGCUCAGGUACGAAAGCGUGGUGAGCAAACAGG